This 1517-nucleotide long non-coding RNA is filed under the name Chinchilla lanigera (long-tailed chinchilla). Its description in RNAcentral is "lncRNA (ENSCLAG00000023668.1)". The record is from RNAcentral. Lineage: Eukaryota; Metazoa; Chordata; Mammalia; Rodentia; Chinchillidae.
GUUGCCCUCCUUCCGUGAAUACCAGCAUAGUACAAAUGCCUUUCGAAAAGCCACUUCUUUGGUGCCACACUGAAAGAACUCAAGGCCAGCCAGCUCCACUGACCUAAAUUGGAUGUAGACUGAAUUAAAUGUAAUGGAUACAGGAGGAAAGGCAGGUGCUAAAAGUACAGUCAUAAGCCUGCAGAAAGCUAUCAGACAUGGAACACCCUUGACUCUUGGUCUCAAAAGAUGCACAGACCUACAGCAGGUGGGGACGCAACUGAAAGUUUUGCACUCUGGACACCUGGAAUUUCCACUCACUUCAGUUACAGCUCUGCCAGACCUCAAUGUUGAGGGCCUUGAGAUGACACAGCACCGGGCUCCCUGGCUCCCGUGGAAGUGGCACGCACCUUCCGUCACAGAUAGCCGGAACACAGGCAAGGGAAGUCCAGCUGCUUGAGCCCGACAGUGUGUCACUACAGGCUGUGGAGUCAUGUACAAAAGAAUGCUGAAGUCAGAACAAGUCUAGUCAUUACACCUGCUAGAAGGACGUUUUGCUUGUAGGCAAUCACGCAUAAGAACCCUCUUUCAUAACCUCUGCAGCUCUACUUAUUUUGGGAGAUUGACACACAGGGGACCCUUUGAUGCUUGUAACUUCCGCCCUUUGUCUCUGAAUGUAUAUUUUUCUUUCCUAAAGGCAUUGCCAGCUAAUCAUCCACAGCCUUGUCCCCCAGUGCCGAGGCAGCUUUCCCCAGUGAGGGUCCGUCAGGACAGGCCUCGUGUUGGAGGGGUUGUGACAGGUGAUGAGAGUCAGUGAUGUAAACCUUUCUUGACAGUAAUAAAACAGAGGGAGAAAAAUUAUUGUAUAAAGCAUGGAUGAUGUAUCUCAAAGUGUGCCUUGGUUUAGUACAAUUGUCUUAUGUGUUUUGUGUUCUUUGGCCUGUUAGUCUGGCUGUUAACCUGUAGGUAUGAUAAUUAACUUGAUAAAGACGUAAAUUAAUGAAUGAAUCUGAUGCUGGCAAAGUACAUUUUUUUAAAGAGGGGAUGUAGCAGGAGGGGAAAAACAGGAAUUGAGCUGUGUUACGUACCAUUCCGCACAAUGAAUUGUAUUAUGUAUGGCAAACGUAUACUAAUAAAAAUGAGAAAUUAGAAAGAAAGCCAAUCUUUCUGUAAAGCAAGCUUAGUUCUUCUGGAAAGGGAUAUCAAGCAAAUAUUUAAGAGUCCUCUCUGUUUGUAAACCAAUGUGAAUUAUCAUUUAGGAGAAAACAAACAAUUUACUAAUGCCAAGAACAAUAAUUACAGUUUAGUAACAUCUUUAGGAUUUUUAGGUACACAUACAGAACUAUAAACAAUUUUUAAUAGUGUACCAAAAUUAAUAUCUGUAUUCCCAACUAAGAACAUACAUUUUUGAGCAAUACUGUCUCUUAUGGACCAAGAGGAAUAUGGCUUUUGCCAGUUAUAUGACUAUUAGCAAUACCUAAUGUAACAAUUAAGCAAAACAAUUUGAUAACUUUUACAAUAUAUUAGACAACAAUCAU